GUGCUUGCUUCAGAGCACAGAUACUAAAAUCGGAACGAUACAGAGAAGAUUAGCAUGGCCCCCGCGCAAGUACGACACACAAAUUCAUGAAGCGUUCCAUAUUUUU
Molecule: small nuclear RNA, 106 nt
Organism: Aethalodelphis obliquidens (Pacific white-sided dolphin)
Lineage: Eukaryota; Metazoa; Chordata; Mammalia; Artiodactyla; Delphinidae
Source: RefSeq, a predicted model, not a curated record